This is a long non-coding RNA of Hylaeus volcanicus, 648 nucleotides long. RefSeq lists it as uncharacterized. The record is from RefSeq and is a predicted model, not a curated record. NCBI's taxonomy places the organism in Eukaryota, Metazoa, Arthropoda, Insecta, Hymenoptera, Colletidae. The transcript has 2 exons.
AAUCGGAAUCGGUGUUGUAAUCAGGGGUUUCCUUUCGUCGCUCGGAGGAUUUGGCUUAUCAUUAUCGUGGUAACUGUUACGACCAUGGUAAUUCGAGUCUUGUGCCGCUGCUAAUCCCAAGACUAUAGCCAGGAUCUACCACAAUAAAACGUCUGCUUAGGAGAAACAUUUAAUUCAAAGGUGGUCGGGUGAUGCAAGCUGCCGGAGAAUUGAAUGGAUAAAUUCCUGUGGGGAGAGACCGAAUUUUAAUGCGAUGCGAUAGAAGAUUUAUCUACCGCUUCUUCACCGUAGCAUCCUUCGAUACGGAGUCAGUGAGAUGAGUGAAAGUAACUGAAAGAUAUUCAAGAUGGUGGCAUCUACAAUCGACGUUCAUAACAGCGAACCGAUGCGUAGGAGAACCUUUUGUGACCAUAACCGAGAUUCCUUCGGUCCCUCGUAACCAUUUCGUCAAGAACCCUUAUGUAACAUUUCGAAUCGGUUAUUUCUGGAAGAGUUUCAGCCCGUGGUUUGCAUCGAUUUCUGAACGCUCUCACCGUAAAUUGUAAUAUGAUAACACUUUCCAUAUUUGGAUGCGCAUUAUCAUUACUGUAAGUCGAUGGUCUGUAGAGCACACACAAACGAAUGUAAUGAAACGGUGAGAAAAACUUG